This 675-nucleotide ribosomal RNA is filed under the name uncultured Bacilli bacterium. RNAcentral's name for it is "bacterial SSU rRNA". It matches the Rfam family "Bacterial small subunit ribosomal RNA", at positions 58 to 714 of the family's 1533-position model. Lineage: Bacteria; Bacillati; Bacillota; Bacilli. The record is from RNAcentral.
CAAGUCGAACGAGAGCGACCGGUGCUUGCACUGGUCAAUCUAGUGGCGAACGGGUGAGUAACACGUGGGUAACCUGCCCAUCAGAGGGGGAUAACAUCCGGAAACGGAUGCUAAAACCGCAUAGGUCUUCGAGCCGCAUGGCUUGAAGAGGAAAAGAGGCGCAAGCUUCUGCUGAUGGAUGGACCCGCGGUGCAUUAGCUAGUUGGUGAGGUAACGGCUCACCAAGGCCGUGAUGCAUAGCCGACCUGAGAGGGUGAUCGGCCACAUUGGGACUGAGACACGGCCCAAACUCCUACGGGAGGCAGCAGUAGGGAAUCUUCCGCAAUGGACGCAAGUCUGACGGAGCAACGCCGCGUGAGUGAAGAAGGUUUUCGGAUCGUAAAACUCUGUUGUUAGAGAAGAACAAGUGCUAGAGUAACUGUUAGCGCCUUGACGGUAUCUAACCAGAAAGCCACGGCUAACUACGUGCCAGCAGCCGCGGUAAUACGUAGGUGGCAAGCGUUGUCCGGAUUUAUUGGGCGUAAAGCGAGCGCAGGCGGUUCCUUAAGUCUGAUGUGAAAGCCCCCGGCUCAACCGGGGAGGGUCAUUGGAAACUGGGGAACUUGAGUGCAGAAGAGGAGAGUGGAAUUCCAUGUGUAGCGGUGAAAUGCGUAGAUAUAUGGAGGAACACCAGUG